Molecule: ribosomal RNA, 445 nt
Filed under: uncultured bacterium
Lineage: Bacteria
Description: partial 16S ribosomal RNA
Rfam family: Bacterial small subunit ribosomal RNA
Source: RNAcentral
GUGAGGAAUAUUGGUCAAUGGGCGAGAGCCUGAACCAGCCAAGUCGCGUGAAGGAUGAAGGUUUUAUGAAUUGUAAACUUCUUUUGCAGGGGAAUAAAGUGCAGGACGUGUCCUGUUUUGUAUGUACCCUGAGAAUAAGGAUCGGCUAACUCCGUGCCAGCAGCCGCGGUAAUACGGAGGAUCCGAGCGUUAUCCGGAUUUAUUGGGUUUAAAGGGUGCGUAGGUGGUUUGAUAAGUCAGCGGUGAAAGUUUGCAGCUUAACUGUAAAAAUGCCGUUGAAACUGUCGGACUUGAGUGUAAAUGAGGUAGGCGGAAUGCGUGGUGUAGCGGUGAAAUGCAUAGAUAUCACGCAGAACUCCGAUUGCGAAGGCAGCUUACUAAGCUACAACUGACACUGAAGCACGAAAGCGUGGGGAUCAAACAGGAUUAGAUACCCGAGUAGUCC